GGGGGAGGGGCCACGCGCCCACCGCCCCGCGCGCCCGACAUUCUCCGGCCGCCGCCGCCGCCCCGCGCCGGCCCCCGCUCCGGCCCCCGCGCAUGCGCGCCCCCGGGGGCCCGCGCACGGGUGGAAGGGGGUGGGGUCGCUCUGCAGCCGCCCCUCGCGGGGCCGGGCCCCUCCCGCCCCACCGAUGGCGGCGGGCGGGGACGGGUCUGCGGGCGCGGGUUUGCGACCUCAGGAGCUCCGUUAAUGAAUGAGCUAGAGAAACGGCACAUCGACAAUUUCGGGAAACCUACAGUCGGUGCUGUGACUGUUGCAUUUCUGCCCCCUUCUGGUCCCUGUGAACGAGCAUCCAGGACUGCAAUUUUACAGCGCUUCCUCUCUUAAGCAGGCACAGCAGUGCAGCAUUCCUGAUACAAGGAAGCACACAGCCUGACAUACCACCAUGGGAGGAGACACAGAUAACAUCAUCUUCUGCAUGAGGACCCAUCCUGGGAGGAAUGAGCCUCUUCCCGUUCCACACAACAUAGGGACUCCAUCCCAUCAUUGCUGGUUCAGGCGAAGAAAUGAGGUGAAGAUGGGAAUCAGCUUUUCUGGCUAGCAGUCAAUCCAGGGCACAUCUGGCAGUUGCCCAGUGCAUAAAGCAGGUCCCAUCCAUAGACUUCCCAGAGCUUUACCAUCUGGUUCUUUUAAUUCUGUAUUCUCCAUCUAACUUCUCCUAAGCAUGUUCUGGCAACCGCUCUACAGUCCAUGAGAGACUCCCGGCCUGCCCCAGAAUAUAAAAGGUCUCCCUGUUAUAUCCAGUGGGCUGGGAGAGAAGGAAAGAAGCCAUGGUGUUAAAGGAAUUCCCAAAGGGCACCAAAUACAGAGAACAGACAGACAUUGUAAAAACACACACAUAAAAAUACUUCAUUGUUUUAAACCGAAAGACAUUUUCUGUUGUCAGAUGCAAGCAAACUGCAUUGCUUUCACAUGGAGAGGUUGUUGGCAAGAAACUAACUGGCCUGUGUUUAAAAGCAUUCCAGGGAUACUUAUGCCCUUGGGAGACCAGAAACACAAAGAGAAACCACCUACAUACAACCUGACACCACUUACCAGGACCAGCUGGAUUUAGGGUUAAGCUUGUCACAGAGCACAGAGAAAGAGCCCACCUUUAUCUCCUAAGAACUUGCAGACUUGCCCAAGAACUUUCAGACUGAACGUACCUACUAUCCAUCCCUUGGCUACGUUCUUGGAAUGACUAUUCAGAGAAUGGCAAUAACAUAAGUGUGAGCCUUCCUAAGCAGUAUCUGGGGUGUCUUGGAUGGAUACCAGGCAUGCGUGAAGGAAACAGCAUUUCACUCUGCAGUUUUCCAGGAGCUUUAAGACAAGCCAAAUUGCCUCAAAGGGCCCUGAGUAACUUAACAUGCACCAACAGCGGCAGAAUGCACCCGUUUGUGCAGUAAAAAGAACAUGAGGGUCCCUAGCUCUUUCUGCUCUAUAAUGCCAGGCCAUGAGUCCAUUUUUUAAAACAUAUUAAGAGCAUAUCCAUUAAAAUAAAACUAAAGGGAACAUAGACAUUCUACACUACAGUAAAAGAAAAGCUAAAAAAAAAGUUUUCUGUCCAUCAGCAUUCAUGUGGAACCUCUCCAUCUGCUCUGACACCCAGCAUUCCUGUAUCUACUUACCCCUUGGUUGUCCAAACCAGUGUGAGCACCUUGGUCCCUGGAUGCCCACGGCCAGUUGCAAGCACCUCCAUCUUCCACAGGUACAGCCAUCUCCCUAGACUCUCCGGUGAGCUGGUGCAUGGACAGAGGCAUGGGAACGCCAGCAGCCAGUGGGCCAUCACUUGAUUGUUCUGACAUGGAGAUCCCACUAAUUUUAAGCACAUGUCGCAUCUCUCUCCUUUUCCACACUUUCACCCAUAUCUCAAUCCUCUAAUGGUACUUACAUGCAUUUAUAUAUAAACCCUUCCAUGCUAUUAUUUCUGUUUCAUCCCUUCCCUCCCACCUCAUGAACCCAUUAGAUUUUUAAAAUUCUUUGAAUUUAAAAAGCAUAUGAAAAGUUGAUCAUCACUGUCUGAUACCAUCUGCUUCUGCAUAUACAUACCACAAGCAGAAAUUGCCUUGUGAAAUGUUCCUGCUGAACAUUUCCGUCGUUAUGUCCCAAACCCCUCACUAAUUGGCUUCUACACCUACAGUCACUCCUCUCCCUGCCUCAAUUCUGUUUUUAACUUAAUCACUCUCCUUCAUGCAAUUUCUUUUUCUGUCAUCUCAAGCCAGUUUGGUGUGUACCUUCGUUUCAUACUUCCUUUUAAGAAAUUCAUAUUAUUUUGAUCUCGACCCCUCUUUUCCCAGCCCUGCACUCAAAGAGGAGGUGAGAAGGACCCAGGCACAUCAGUGACUCUCUCUGUUGGGGGGCAGAGCAGGACCGGGAUCCCCCUGUAACAGAAGGUGAGCCUGGAGCCAGGGAUGACAAUGCCACUCAGCAGGACACCAUCCCACGGUGUGAGCAAGGCAAGGCAGAGCAGGGCUGGGGAUGGCAAAGGUUUCACCAUCAAGCAAAAACAAAGUGAGGCCCCAGGUCAAGCCAGUCACCAAGUCAGGGACGUGGCUGGGCUCAGGCCCUCCUACAGCACAGCUCUGGCCAGGAGCGGGUGCCCCAGCGCGGGUGGGAGCCCCAGGUGAGGGCAGGUAAGGCUUAUGAACUCACCUAGGGCCCUGAUGCUCUGGUCUUAAAUCUGCUCUGCAGUGCCCUGCGUAGUGACUGUGCUGGUUCAAGAGAUGGAACCAGGCACAACCCCAGGAGUUAUGACCAGCAGUAAAUAUGGUGUCUCCAAAUAACUUUCUUAAAAUAUCGUUGAAUGAUAAUUGGAGGAAAACAGGUUAUAAGCAAAUAGGGUUCAGAAUUAGCUUUAUCCUGCCCUGGUACACCCUCUGAUCUAGUAAGUGCCUUCAUUCCCAGGCCCCCUGACCUCUGGCAGAAAGAGGCAUGCUUUCAGUUUUCUUCCCUUUUACUCACACUCCUGGCUUUAGCCACAUUUAGGGAUAAUCCAUAGACACUCCUUGUUGUCUCAUCUAAUAUGUUUGGAUCCAACACCCAGAGUCUGCUUCGUGCAGACUUAACAUCUUUUUUGACAACCUCAGAAAUAUUUGAUGAGGCCUAUUUUUCCCCAUGUUUGUUUCCUCCUUUUAUUUGUUGAUUUAAAUCUGCUAUUAUACUGAAACAACAUACUAAUACAGUACACAUCUUUCACAGUGAUCAAACACAGAGAAUGUAUUUAAAGGUUUACAGACCAGUCUAAAUCCAUCACCGCUCUUACCUCCAUCACAUAACAUGCUGCCCACAUUGUCUUAAAAAAAAGUGUAAGACAGGGAAGAAAAAUUGUGAUUGUCCUUUCCCUCUUAAUGAAAAUAAGCCUCUAUGUCCAACCUAGUCCCUUUAAUACUUCCCAAAUGCUUCUGAACAAGCAAUCCCAAGCAAAGAAAGAAACCAUCCAAGAGCACAGGAGAAAAAAAUACACACAGAAACAACAAAGUAACCAACAAAAAUAUUUGCAUAAUAAAACAUUUCAAUAAUCCCAGAGUGUUAUCUCUUACACUUUUAGCUCUCUGGCCUGCAGUUGUAUUCUGAGGCUGCCCACUGACCUUUCUCACAAGUGUUAUGAGAAUUAGCUGAAAAUACCCUUGGGGUUGACAGUGACUUGCAGGAUUGCUGUUAGCAGCUUAAUACAGGGCACCAGAGGUAUUGGCUACUGUACAAUAAUGCUACUGCGGCAUGCAACAAAGCUGUUUUAAGGCUUGCGGCACGGCAGACUACAACAGCUUCCAGCUUUUUGAAGAAGUUCAGUAUUGGACUCUGCUGUAAUUAAUCAUUAAAAGAAAAUGUUCCUCACAAUUGAAGUUCAAAUGAUGCAUAAAGCAUAUAAAUAUCACUGAUUUGGUAUCACAUCUGAAGGAUUACAGAACAGCACAGCAGACUUGAUGAGGAACUCAAGAACACUGUAUAGUGAAAAUCUGACAGAUGGCUUUGGCAGGCAAACUACAAUAACACAGGUGAAAGUUUGACCAAGCCACUGCUGCUAAUGCUGGUUAAGUCUUCCUGACACAACCUCAGAGGGCUGGCAGUGGCAGCUUUGAAAUAAAUGCAGCAGGAAAUCAGGUUGAAAAAGUAGGAAGGUGCUUGUGAGAAAGACCCUUCCAGCACUGUGGCGACGGGACAUAGUCCCAUCCUCUGAAAUGACAACGUAGCCAUGUCAGCCUUUAGCCCAUUUUACAACUAACCUCUAAACUUCUUAUUGCACGGUUGUUUAGGUCUCAAGUGAAAUGUGAUAAAGGAAGUACAUGUAUGCUUUUGUGGAUUUAAUGUGCUAUUUGGGACAAAAAAAAAAAAAAUUGUUGUACUUCUGUUCAGGUAGGAAUCUGACAAAGGGAGGAGAGAAUCGCUUGCAAGUCUAGACCAGAAACAAUUAGUUGCUGUAAAAGUCAUGGGUUUUGAGAAAAUAGAAGUUGGCAACCUUGCAAA
Molecule: non-coding RNA, 4497 nt
Organism: Phalacrocorax carbo (great cormorant)
Lineage: Eukaryota; Metazoa; Chordata; Aves; Suliformes; Phalacrocoracidae
Source: RefSeq, a predicted model, not a curated record